UGAAUCUAAAAAAUCAUUCGGACUCCGAGUCGGAUACGACUCCAAUUCCUCUCCUAUAAAUAAAAAGACUUCAAAACCCUCAAAGUAAAUUCUCUACUCUCUACUCUCUUCUCUCAUUGUUCUCCAUCUCUUAACUUGAGCGUCGGAGGGUUUUCAUCGAAGAACACCCCGGUGAAGAUUUUUUAUUGGUAUUCGGAUGA
Molecule: long non-coding RNA, 200 nt
Filed under: Elaeis guineensis (African oil palm)
Lineage: Eukaryota; Viridiplantae; Streptophyta; Magnoliopsida; Arecales; Arecaceae
Description: long non-coding RNA (EGUI_LNC074139)
Source: RNAcentral